UACGGAGGGGGCUAGCGUUAUUCGGAAUUACUGGGCGUAAAGCGCACGUAGGCGGAUUGGAAAGUCAGAGGUGAAAUCCCAGAGCUCAACUUUGGAACUGCCUUUGAAACUCCCAGUCUUGAGGUCGAGAGAGGUGAGUGGAAUUCCGAGUGUAGAGGUGAAAUUCGUAGAUAUUCGGAGGAACACCAGUGGCGAAGGCGGCCAUCUGGGACAACACUGACGCUGAGGCACGAAAGCGUGGGGAGCAAACAGG
This 253-nucleotide ribosomal RNA is filed under the name uncultured bacterium. RNAcentral describes it as "partial 16S ribosomal RNA". It matches the Rfam family "Bacterial small subunit ribosomal RNA", at positions 524 to 776 of the family's 1533-position model. The record is from RNAcentral.